AAAAACAUAACCUUUAGCCAAACAAAUAUUAAAGGCAACGCCUGCCCAGUGAACAAUUAAACGGCCGCGGUACCCUAACCGUGCAAAGGUAGCAUAAUCAUUUGUCUACUAAUUAUAGACCUGUAUGAAAGGCAAAAUGAGGGUCCAACUGUCUCUUAUAAUAAAUCAAUUAAACUGAUCUCCUAGUAAAAAAGCUAGAAUAAUACCAUAAGACCAGAAGACCCUGUGAAGCUUAAAUUAAACUACUAAACCACAUAGUAAUUACUUUCGGUUGGGGCGACCUUGGAAAAAAACAAAACUUCCAAGACCCAGUAAAACUGACAAUUGAACCAAGUUACUCCAGGGAUAACAGCGCAAUCUUCUUCAAGAGCCCAUAUCAAAAAGAAGGUUUACGACCUCGAUGUUGGAUCAGGACAUCCUAAUGGUGCAGCCGCUAUUAAGGGUUCGUUUGUUCAACGAUUAACAGUCCUACGUGAUCUG
RNAcentral lists this ribosomal RNA (480 nucleotides) under Rhinocheilus lecontei (longnose snake). Its description in RNAcentral is "partial 16S ribosomal RNA". It matches the Rfam family "Bacterial large subunit ribosomal RNA", at positions 1809 to 2607 of the family's 2925-position model. Lineage: Eukaryota; Metazoa; Chordata; Lepidosauria; Squamata; Colubridae. The record is from RNAcentral.